This is a long non-coding RNA of Capra hircus (goat), 479 nucleotides long. RefSeq lists it as uncharacterized. Lineage: Eukaryota; Metazoa; Chordata; Mammalia; Artiodactyla; Bovidae. The transcript is spliced from 3 exons. The record is from RefSeq and is a predicted model, not a curated record.
CUCAUUCCGCUCUGAGAGCCGCCGCGGGCCGUCGCUGUGGCUGCAGUCGCUGCCUAAUGUUUUCGCGCUCCUCCCUUCCCUCCUCCUCUUUCUCCUCCUCCGAGUCCCAGUCAGGCUGACCUGCCCCGCUCGCGGGCAGAAAACUAAGACCUAACUUGCUACCUUGUCUGAAGUCACAUGUGCUUAGGUGACUCUGCAACUUGAUGGACGACGACACCUCUUUUCAACCAAAAAGUAAGUAUUGCUGCUGCAAGUGAUACUAGUGUACUUGGCUCUUGUAUUGAUAAUCUUGCUUCAUGAGAAAAUGUGAGAGAGACGGAGGUGGGCAUAUUGAAAAAAAAAAAAACACAAAAAACCUCUUAAGUUUAUUGUAGUAAUCUGUGUAGUUGCUAGGUUGUAUCUGACUCUUUGCGACCCCAUGGACUGUAGCCUGCCAGGCUCCCCUGUCCAUGGUAUUCUCCAGACAAGAAUACUGGAGU